Molecule: ribosomal RNA, 488 nt
Filed under: uncultured eukaryote
Lineage: Eukaryota
Description: SSU rRNA
Rfam family: Eukaryotic small subunit ribosomal RNA
Source: RNAcentral
UAGGUUCGAUUCCGGAGAGGGAGCCUGAGAAACGGCUACCACAUCUACGGAAGGCAGCAGGCGCGCAAAUUGCCCAAUCCUGACACGGGGAGGCAGUGACAAGAAAUAACAACUCUAGGAUUUCUUAGAAGUGUAAUGAGGAUAAUUUACAAACCUUACCGAAUGCAAUUGGAGGGCAAGUCUGGUGCCAGCAGCCGCGGUAAUUCCAGCUCCAAUAGCGUAUAUUAAAGUUGUUGCAGUUAAAAAGCUCGUAGUUGAAGUUCUGAUUGCUCAGGUUUCCAGCCUUAGGCGGAGAUACUGACAGUCAUCCGCUUGCAAACAUAUGUUCGAUCUUCACCGGUUGGCUAUGUGAGUAAGCACUUUACCUUGAGAAAAACAGAGUGUUCCAGGCAGGUUUGUCCGGGAUGCAUUAGCAUGGAAUAAUAGAACAUGACUGAAGUCGAUUUAUUGGUUUAAGGCUUUAGUAAUGAUUAAUAGGAACAGUCGGG